RNAcentral lists this ribosomal RNA (1351 nucleotides) under Pedobacter sp. RNAcentral's name for it is "bacterial SSU rRNA". It matches the Rfam family "Bacterial small subunit ribosomal RNA", at positions 93 to 1455 of the family's 1533-position model. Lineage: Bacteria; Pseudomonadati; Bacteroidota; Sphingobacteriia; Sphingobacteriales; Sphingobacteriaceae. The record is from RNAcentral.
AAGUGGCGCACGGGUGCGUAACGCGUAUGCAACCUACCUUAAUCAGGGGGAUAGCCCGGAGAAAUCCGGAUUAACACCGCAUAAAAACACAGGAUAGCAUUAUCCAAUGUUCAAAUAUUUAUAGGAUUAAGAUGGGCAUGCGUGUCAUUAGCUAGUUGGCGGGGUAACGGCCCACCAAGGCGACGAUGACUAGGGGAUCUGAGAGGAUGACCCCCCACACUGGUACUGAGACACGGACCAGACUCCUACGGGAGGCAGCAGUAAGGAAUAUUGGUCAAUGGAGGCAACUCUGAACCAGCCAUGCCGCGUGCAGGAAGACUGCCCUAUGGGUUGUAAACUGCUUUUAUCCGGGAAUAAACCUCUUUACGAGUAAAGAGCUGAAUGUACCGGAAGAAUAAGGAUCGGCUAACUCCGUGCCAGCAGCCGCGGUAAUACGGAGGAUCCAAGCGUUAUCCGGAUUUAUUGGGUUUAAAGGGUGCGUAGGCGGCCUGUUAAGUCAGGGGUGAAAGACGGUAGCUCAACUAUCGCAGUGCCCUUGAUACUGAUGGGCUUGAAUGGACUAGAGGUAGGCGGAAUGAGACAAGUAGCGGUGAAAUGCAUAGAUAUGUCUCAGAACACCGAUUGCGAAGGCAGCUUACUAUGGUCUUAUUGACGCUGAGGCACGAAAGCGUGGGGAUCAAACAGGAUUAGAUACCCUGGUAGUCCACGCCCUAAACGAUGAACACUCGCUGUUGGCGAUACACAGUCAGCGGCUAAGCGAAAGCGUUAAGUGUUCCACCUGGGGAGUACGGUCGCAAGAUUGAAACUCAAAGGAAUUGACGGGGGCCCGCACAAGCGGAGGAGCAUGUGGUUUAAUUCGAUGAUACGCGAGGAACCUUACCCGGGCUUGAAAGUUAGUGAAUGAUUUAGAGAUAGAUCAGUCCGCAAGGACACGAAACUAGGUGCUGCAUGGCUGUCGUCAGCUCGUGCCGUGAGGUGUUGGGUUAAGUCCCGCAACGAGCGCAACCCCUAUGUUUAGUUGCCAGCACGUCAUGGUGGGGACUCUAAACAGACUGCCUGUGCAAACAGAGAGGAAGGAGGGGACGACGUCAAGUCAUCAUGGCCCUUACGUCCGGGGCUACACACGUGCUACAAUGGAUGGUACAGAGGGCAGCUACAUAGCAAUAUGGUGCGAAUCUCACAAAGCCAUUCACAGUUCGGAUUGGGGUCUGCAACUCGACCCCAUGAAGUUGGAUUCGCUAGUAAUCGCGUAUCAGCAAUGACGCGGUGAAUACGUUCCCGGGCCUUGUACACACCGCCCGUCAAGCCAUGGAAGUUGGGGGUACCUAAAGUAUGUAACCGCAAGGAGCGU